AUUGAACGCUGGCGGCAUGCCUUACACAUGCAAGUCGAACGGUAGAGGGGGCAACCCCUUGAGAGUGGCGAACGGGUGAGUAAAGCAUCGGAACGUGCCCAGGAGUGGGGGAUAGCUCGGCGAAAGCCGGAUUAAUACCGCAUGUGACCUGAGGGUGAAAGCGGGGGACCGCAAGGCCUCGCGCUCGUGGAGCGGCCGAGGUCGGAGUAGGUAGUUGGUGGGGUAAAGGCCUACCAAGCCGACGAGCUGUAGCUGGUCUGAGAGGACGACCAGCCACACUGGGACUGAGACACGGCCCAGACUCCUACGGGAGGCAGCAGUGGGGAAUUUUGGACAAUGGGCGCAAGCCUGAUCCAGCCAUGCCGCGUGCGGGAAGAAGGCCUUCAGGUUGUAAACCGCUUUUGUCAGGGAAGAAAUCUGCCGGGUUAAUACCCUGGUGGGAUGACGGUACCUGGAGAAUAAGCACCGGCUAACUACGUGCCAGCAGCCGCCGUAA
This 496-nucleotide ribosomal RNA is filed under the name uncultured bacterium. RNAcentral's name for it is "partial 16S ribosomal RNA". It matches the Rfam family "Bacterial small subunit ribosomal RNA", at positions 29 to 523 of the family's 1533-position model. The record is from RNAcentral.